UGGCGGACGGGUGAGUAACGCGUGAGUAACCUGCCUUUCAGAGGGGGAUAACGUUCUGAAAAGAACGCUAAUACCGCAUGAGACUACAGAGCUGCAUGGCUCAGUGGUCAAAGGAGCAAUCCGCUGAAAGAUGGACUCGCGUCCGAUUAGAUAGUAGGCGGGGUAACGGCCCACCUAGUCGACGAUCGGUAGCCGGACUGAGAGGUUGAACGGCCACAUUGGGACUGAGACACGGCCCAGACUCCUACGGGAGGCAGG
RNAcentral lists this ribosomal RNA (258 nucleotides) under uncultured bacterium. RNAcentral describes it as "partial 16S ribosomal RNA". It matches the Rfam family "Bacterial small subunit ribosomal RNA", at positions 96 to 351 of the family's 1533-position model. The record is from RNAcentral.